GCCAAAAAGUCUGUACAGAUUCACAUUUCAAAAACAUAUGAUCAACAGUUUCAAUAUCUUUCUCACAGAACCCGCAUGAAUUGUUCUCCCAAUUAAAUCUUUCUUGUAGGAAGUGAUUAGAUGGAUAAAUGUCCUUUAGAAUUUUAAAUGUUACUUCUUUGGCUUUAGGAAGAACUGGAUAAGUAAAAUAAAGCUUCCUUAUUUUCUUUGCCUCUUCUUCAAUAAAUUCUUGAAGAACAUACUUUCUUUUCAGUUGACUGGGGAAGUACAGUUUGGAUAAUACAUUUCUGAUAAACUUAUUUGUUAAUUGUUUGCUCUUUAAAUUUUUACCUUUAGUACAUGAUGGAUAGCAUAGGUGUAACUUAGUUUUUGGUGGCUUGUGGUAAAAUAACGUAGUGAAUAAUGAAAGGACACGAUCGUUUUGUAUGUGUAUUCCUUUAGCAUUUGUUGUAUAAUUUUAAAAAGGUCAUAUGAGGUGGUUGUUUUCAUAUUUAAUUUUUCAUUCACUUCCAGGGAUAGGAUUGGCAUAGAAGAUGCAGCACUCUUUACAUUUUAAAUAUCAAAUGUAUAUCAAGUGUUAUCCAUCCUCAUAACACCUCCACAAAUAGAGACUGAAACUUCUGAGCACCAUCACCUUGUCUGGUAUGGGACUGUCAUAGCCCAGCAAUCAGAUGCAUCAGAACAACAAAGCACAACUGUGGUGGACCAGGCACCUUCAGCAACAAGUAAAUUGCUUUAACAUUAAUGAUAAUUAAAUGUCAGUAUUGUAAUUAAACUUGACCCAUCUGACGUAAUUGUUCAUGCCAGAGAUUUAACAACACUGUCAGUCAGGAGCAUAUUUAACAGGAGGCACACUUCAGCUGGCUUGAUGGUGACUUCAGUAAGUGUGGUCAACCCUCUUGUUUUUGUGGCUAUAACAAUUAGACUAAGUAAUCUCACUCUCUUCCAUUUCCUUAACAUUACCCUUUUUUUUGU
Carassius gibelio (silver crucian carp) is the source of this 975-nucleotide long non-coding RNA. RefSeq lists it as uncharacterized. NCBI's taxonomy places the organism in Eukaryota, Metazoa, Chordata, Actinopteri, Cypriniformes, Cyprinidae. The record is from RefSeq and is a predicted model, not a curated record. The transcript has 3 exons.